This is a long non-coding RNA of Dromaius novaehollandiae (emu), 2660 nucleotides long. RefSeq lists it as uncharacterized. NCBI's taxonomy places the organism in Eukaryota, Metazoa, Chordata, Aves, Casuariiformes, Dromaiidae. The transcript has 4 exons. The record is from RefSeq and is a predicted model, not a curated record.
GGUCAGCAGCCUGCCUGCCAAGCUCCUGCGCGGGUUAUGCCCCAUCCACGUGGCAGAUAUAUUUACUUGCUGUAAGGAGCCAUCUAGUGAGGGUUUGCUGCACAGAAAAUCGAGCUAACCAUUUCUUUAGCGUUUCGAGGCAAUACCAUAAGAAAGCGUGACCGAGCGGUGUUAUUUCUCCUCUCCCGCCGUGAGCGCUCCUGCUGUGCUCCUGGGGCACCGAAAGCCUGGCCACGCUGCAGAUCGGCGCUGCUGCAAAUCCGGCAGCCCGCGGGGCAUUGCAGAAGGCGCUGCGCCCGCCGGGGCAGGCGCUAAGCACCCACGUCAGCCAGGAGGACGGGGGCAAGCUAGAAGUCAGAUUUUCUGAAAAUGCAAACAAUGAAAAAUAUUCUUUUUUUUUUUUUUGCAGGGGCAAAAAUCCCCAUUCUUAGUAGGUGGAAAGUAUUUGGCUACAUCAAAGAUUAAUAGGUUUAAUGUAAUAGCUGAAACUGAAAUUUAAAAAGCAAACAGACUGAGCAGCAUGGAAUGGGUUUGUAAUAAUGAUUUCAUUACGGGUUUUAAAAAGUUUGCUUUAUCCUUGCAGUUUGUUGUCGGAAAGGAUUGGCUGAAUCCAGUCAAAAUGGUUUGUUCUUUGUCUGUCCGCGGUCACCAUAGCUACCGUCUCAAUCUGUUAACAUAUGUGGUAUUAUUUUGUUCCUUUCUCUUAAACUCUUUAUUCACAGAUGCUGUCAAGAUUUUCCUUUGUACGUAUCUGCUCUGUCAGUGCCAGGUUUGGCUCCGUGCCGUCUCGGAGGAGAGAGGCCGUGCUGAGGCCGUGCUGGCUGCACGCUCGGUGCAGCCGUGGAGACGGUGCGAGGAGCAGGGGUGGGACCGGCUCCUGCGCCACCGCCGCCGGGGUCUGCUGAGAAACACCUGGGAAGUGGUGAUCAGAGGGGGAUCUGUGUCGGGAGCGGAAGGCGCUCGCUGCACGUGCUCUGCCAGAUCCUCGGCGGCUCGUUAGAGUAGCUCCAGGUUGCCACUGAGGUUGGACACAUAUCCGCACUGUACAACGUGGGUAACUGGAAUAUUUAGCAGCAGUGAAAUGGGCAGGUGAAUGUAUCGGCGUGAGCGUGUACAUGGUAUGGUUUGCAGUGGGGAGGCCGUAAGAGAAAUCAGACAGUCUGGAAAACGCACUCUUUUCCUUCACAACAAAGCUCUCACAGCAGAGAACAAAGUUACGGCGAGCCCGUCUUCUUUUUUUUUUUUUCCAUAAAAGCCUUUGUUUAAAGCUCUGUGGGUUGGAUUUUCAGAGCUGCCGAGCACCCCGCAUUCGGGUUUCUUUUAACUGGAAAUGUAGGUGUUCAGCAGCUCCAGCAGCCGGGGCCUCUCCUGAUGCCUGCGGAGUAGUUGCAGAAAGUGUGUGAGACAUUACUGUAAUGAGGGGCUAAUUCUGCCUCUCCUCCCUGCCUCUCAGAGCAGAUGAAAGGGUGCCUGCGAGUCAUGUUAUACGCAUGGAAAAUGGGGGCCCUGAUGUGCUGGCCCUGGCUCCACGGGGCAGGGAUGCUCUCCUGUCACAACCGGCACCGAGUCACAUCUGCAUUCCCAGUGUAAGGCCCGUUUUUAAGGACUCCUAGUUUGGCUAUAAAAAUUCACUUACCAUGCAUGAAUAGGAACCAAAUUGACAUGAUAGACCAUAACCACUCUGAAAGGGCCAUUAGUUCCUGUCAUAUGAAAAAUCCACGUUUUCAGAAAGCGAGUAUUGUUCAGAUCGACACGGUGGGCUGUGAAGGUCCCUUCCGAGGCAUCACAGCCUCUCCGGAAAAAAGCACUCUUGCUGCCCACCACAGGCGCAGCAACAGCACGGGGCAGAUCCCUGCUCCCAGAUAUCAGCUCCAGAUCAGCGCAGAGCCUUCCCGUGUCCCCGAGCCAGUCUGGAGCGGUGGGAGCUCCCGGUUCACGUGGGUGUAAGCAGGAAGGGGCAGACCACGGGGUAAAGACGUGGUUUGAGGAGCGGGAGAGGUGAGUCCUGGCUGCGCGAGGGCACUGGCCAGCAGAGCCAGGAGUGCAAGGUCCGUGGAGAAACAUCACCCGUCCCCUGUGCUCAGCGCUGUCGGGGAGGGCACGGGAGACGCGGCCGCAUGUGGACCUUGCGGUAUGCAGUAAGGGAAAAGCCCGGGCUGGCGGGAACGCAGCGGUUGUGUUUUCCAGUGAUUUUAGGAGGUCCUAGGUCAUGACAUUUUAAGAAUUGUUUCUUCUUUUAGCUGGUGAUUAAUACUUCACUUGACACCAGAUUAGGCUUUCAUUGAUUUUUUUUUUCUUUUCCAGGUUUUCGUGAGUUGAAGGUUUUCUUUAGCAAAUAGCAGUGAGGAACCGACUUUGGCUCCUCUCUCCUCCCCCCGCGACCACUUGCGACUGAGAUCUCCAGAUUGGAUUUGGAAAAAAGGGAAGAGAGAAGCAGGAUUUUAGGAGCAAGCGGCUGCAGAUGCCUCCGAGGGAGCCUGGGAAGCCUCCGCUGUACAGGGUUUCACAUGGAGGAUUUGUUCUGCCGGAUCCAGCCGGCGCUUCCCCUUGCUGCUGGCGGCAGGCUUCAUGGGGAGUAACGCCACAGCAUCGCCUGAGCAGCUGCUCCUGGGGAAAAGCUUCCUCCAUCAGUCAGAAAAUAAAGAUUGAUUUAAACACUG